Molecule: ribosomal RNA, 468 nt
Filed under: uncultured bacterium
Lineage: Bacteria
Description: partial 16S ribosomal RNA
Rfam family: Bacterial small subunit ribosomal RNA
Source: RNAcentral
GACGAACGCUGGCGGCGUGCUUAACACAUGCAAGUCGAACGGAAAGGCCCUGCUUUUGUGGGGUGCUCGAGUGGCGAACGGGUGAGUAACACGGGAGUAACCUGCCCUUGACUUUGGGAUAACUUCAGGAAACUGGGGCUAAUACCGGAUAGGAGCUCCUGCUGCAUGGUGGGGGUUGGAAAGUUUCGGCGGUUGGGGAGGGACUCGCGGCUUAUCAGCUUGUUGGUGGGGUAGUGGCUUACCAAGGCUUUGACGGGUAGCCGGCCUGAGAGGGUGACCGGCCACAUUGGGACUGAGAUACGGCCCAGACUCCUACGGGAGGCAGCAGUGGGGAAUAUUGCACAAUGGGCGGAAGCCUGAUGCAGCAACGCCGCGUGCGGGAUGACGGCCUUCGGGUUGUAAACCGCUUUCGCCUGUGACGAAGCGUGAGUGACGGUAAUGGGUAAAGAAGCACCGGCUAACUACGUG